This 994-nucleotide unclassified non-coding RNA is filed under the name Primulina yangshuoensis. RNAcentral's name for it is "partial 166FR". Lineage: Eukaryota; Viridiplantae; Streptophyta; Magnoliopsida; Lamiales; Gesneriaceae. The record is from RNAcentral.
UUUCUUCUCUAUCACACUAUAUCAUUUUAUGCUGGUAGUUUACCAUCUUGGUCAUUUUAUAUAUGCUGUUAUUUGUAAGCAUUUAUCUUGCUGUGGAUUGAGGGUUCGGGCUAGAAUUUAAUUUGGUGGCUUCUGACCUGUAACUUCUCCUGUUAUGUUUAACUUUGAAAUGCUUUCAAACAAUUUGGCUUGUGAGCUAUAAAUUAAUUGACAUUUUUCGUUCUGGGUCUGAUUACUGAGCCGGGAGGGAAAAUAAAGAAAGAAUCUCAGCACCGAUUAAGCUCAUUUUUACUACUGCUUCCGUUGGUACAGCCAGAGAGGAACUCAAACAUUGUCUCCCGAUCUAUUAUUUCAAGAUGGAAUUGAACUGCUAGGACAAUUUGAAUGAUUACGUUCAUCAUUCAAAUGGUAAAAUUCCAUUGCAAAAUGCAGAGCCUAAUUCUAGAAUGCUCUACUUAAUAUUUUCCAAUAAAUGUUGUAUUUGAAAUUUUAGAUUUGAUUAAAAAUAAGGAGUAACCACCACCCUCUUGUUAGAGUUUAAAUGUGAGGUGUGAGAAAGUGGUAAAAAAUUGUGGAAUAAAACUGUUGUGUGGAUAAAUGGUGCAUAAGAUCUUGUGAGGUGCUUGCUUUAGCAGUAUUAGGCUGCAAAUUUAUUGUAUUUGAUAACUUGUAUCAUUGAAUCAGCAUGUUCAAGCUAAUGCUCAUUACGAGCGAAUGUUCACUUCUCUCAUUUAAUGUGGGAUUAGGGUUUAAAAAUAGAAUGAAAUAUCUUUAGUUUUUCUAAGUGGUAAUUUGGGCUUGGGUGCAGGUGAGUUUGAGCGAGUAGCAGGACACACAUCAAAAGUAAAAGUGCACACAUAUGGCACAUAGUUUGUUAUUACUGGAUUCAACUAUUUGUUUUUGUGCAACUGGUGCUGAAAUUUGCAUAUUUUGUUAUGUAUAAAGGUACAGGUGAUUUGGGCGAGCGACCCAGUUUCACAACGGAGGGGAGGAG